UGACAAGGGCCCCAUUUGCCACCAGGUCCUGGAAUGAAAAGGCCAUUAUGAUGAGAGCCACUGCUACCUCGCUGGCAGUCACUGAACCAACCAUGAAUGCACAAAUGUAGAACUUAAUCCUUGCCUGUGACUGACCCUCAUGGCAUGUAUGUGAUGUGGAUGACGAAGGAGUUUGUACGUACCUUCUGUACAAUAUCACGGUGUCCAUGACUGGCUGCCAGAUGCAGGGGGGUGUCAUCCCCACGGUUCAUUACAUUGAUCCGUGCCCCCCGCAUGAUCAACAUCUCAACCACAGCAGAGCGGCCCUCUCGGCAGGCCCAGUGCAAGGGGGAGAAGCCAUGAUCGUCCCUUUGAGGAAGGGGCAAUGGUCAUUGAGCUGGAGGUGGGAUGGGGCAAAGGUUUUGAUUCCUGAAAAACUGAUAAUUACAUACUCUCUGGGAAGGCUUACCUCUCUAGGACUUUGAUUCUCAUUCAUGCCAGCAACUCCCAAAGCUGUCCAUUUCAGACCUUCCCCUGAGCUUCAAACCAAACCAACCACCUAGAUAUCUCAACAACCUCUAUAAAAAAAUGUGUUAUCUUCACCAUAUCCCACAUCUCAUUUCCUUAGGUGGUAGUGCUCUUCCCCUGGUUUCUCUUGCACCCCUUCUGCAACAUCUAUUGGUCCUUUCUGUUUUCCACCACAUCUUAUAUGUCCCCCUACUUCAGCACUUGUUGCACUGGAUUGUAAAAAUCUGUUAAUGGACUGUCUUGUCUGUUAGACCUUUAAGUUUCUUGAGGGAAUGGAUUGACAGCAGCUGUUCAGUGCAUGUUAGUGGGGGAGAAGGGUGUCUUGGAGAAGGCAGGCCACAACUUAUAGAAGAGGGAACAAACUUACUAUUUGGCUCUGGUACUGAAACUAACAUCUAAAAAUGGAAUGGAAUUUAAAUGAUGUUUUGGAAGGGUUUAUGUUGAAAAGGAGAAAUGCUUUUGACUACUGAUGAGGUAGAUAACAAACCACCAUGCAAAGCAGGAUUCCCCUACUUAGCAAUCCUGUGCAUAGAAAACAGAAGAAAAUGAGAAUGGCUGUUUUGGGAUUAAAACUAUACCUGAUUUUUUUCUUUUCCAAGAAAUAUGUAUUUUAUAAAGUAAAGUAUACAAACAAAACAAAACAAUUGGUUUGGAGCUGGGCCUGCCUGACAGCCUGGGGCCAUAAAAGGAAAUUCCCUCCAGUUCGGGGCUGCAGAUUCAAGGGGCGGAGCAGGGGGCGGUCCGUGGUCUGGGCCAGCAGCCUCCGGAUGCCUUAGUGUUGUGGUCACUUCCUGUGUGCGACUCUAGGCAAGGCCUGGAGCUGAUCAGGGGUCUGGCCAUCCAGAUGCCCGUACAGCUGAAGGGGUUGGGGGGUGUGGCCUUUAAGUUAAUCAUUUUCCUCCACAACUUGCUCGCAUCUGCUAACACAGAAAUAGCCAAAAGCUUUUCCUUGAGAUGGGAUUAUCCCCAGGAAGCAUUACGCCCCCUGUUUAUCAGUUGGUCUUGCCUCCUAGACCUUUAAUUUGUGCCCUGACUUAUCAGCUUCCAGUACUGCCUGUGGCGCCAGGGCAGGCCAAACUCGGGGGGCAAAAGUAUGGGCACAAGGGUUCUGUUCACUAUCAGGCUGCCUGCCACCUCAGGGCCUGGACUUCUAUCUCAAGAAGACCUGCAAGGAAUUAACCCCCUCUUCAUAUCCAGCAUAUAGCCAACUUUGGCCCCCAUACUUUACUCCUCAAACCAGCACCACAACCUUCCAGUUUCAUUAAUUCCACCCCUUUUCCUUCUGGCAGCAUCUUCCUAGAGUCUUCCUAGACUCAGCUAGAGUCUUCCUAGAUGCUAGGCCCACUGGGCAACUGCCUAAGCCUCUAUUUCCUCACCAACAAAACAGUAACAGUGCUUACUGUCUUUAUCAGGGUACCCUUUGAGAAUUAUAUGAAAAAUGGAACAAAUGACUUUGCAAAGUAUUAAAGAGAAAUAGUGUAGAACCUAAUGGGAACCAGUGAAGUCUAGACUAAGAUGACAGGUGAUCCUGACCUGUCAAACCUAAAAACUAAACUCCACCAAUUUUAAAAAAUAAAGAAUUUGAUUUUGCCACUCUGAGUCACCAUCACUACUGCUCUUCUUGCCUUCCUAUCUCAGCCAACCUUGUAGAACUGGUGUACAUUCACUUUCACUAUUUGCUCACCUCUCAACUUUUGUUUUCUUUUUCUUUUUUAAGACAGAGUCUU
RNAcentral lists this long non-coding RNA (2234 nucleotides) under Homo sapiens (human). RNAcentral's name for it is "HSALNT0361173". Lineage: Eukaryota; Metazoa; Chordata; Mammalia; Primates; Hominidae. The record is from RNAcentral.